AAAGCCCUGGUCCUGACUUUAAUAUCAAUUAUGGUCCAAAUUACACAUGCAAGUACCAGCAACCCCGUGAGAAUGCCCACUAUCCCCUUAAUGGGGAAGAGGAGCAGGCAUCAGGCACACAACCAACUGAAGUAGCCCAAAACGCCUUGCUUAGCCACACCCCCAAGGGAAUUCAGCAGUGAUAAACAUUAGGCCAUGAGUGAAAACUCGACUUAAUUAAGACCAAAUAGAACCGGUAAAACUCGUGCCAGCCACCGCGGUUAUACGAGAGGUUCAAAUUGAUAAUCCACGGCGUAAAGCAUGAUUAGAGAAAAAACAAAACUAAAGCCAAACAUCCCCCAAGCCGUCAUACGCUUACGGAAGUAAGAAGCCCCACAACGAAAGUGGCCUUAAAACACCUUGAAUUCAUGAACGUUAAGAAACAAACUGGGAUUAGAUACCCCACUAUGCUUAACUGUAAACAACGAUGAUAAUAUACAGAUAUCAUCCGCCAGGGGACUACGAGCAUUAGCUUAAAACCCAAAGGACUUGGCGGUGCCUCAAACCCACCUAGAGGAGCCUGUUCUAUAACCGAUAACCCCCGUUCAACCUCACCACUCCUUGUCAUCCCAGCCUAUAUACCGCCGUCGCCAGCUUACCUCGUGAGAGCAUAAUAGUAAGCCAAAUGGGCCCUGCCCAAAACGUCAGGUCGAGGUGUAGCAAAUGAAGUGGGAAGAAAUGGGCUACAUUUUCUAACCCAGAAUAUUACGAAAAGUGCCAUGAAACAAGCACAACUGAAGGUGGUUUUAGCAGUAAAAAGAAAACAGAGAGUUCUU
RNAcentral lists this ribosomal RNA (815 nucleotides) under Gnathophis bathytopos (blackgut conger). Its description in RNAcentral is "partial 12S ribosomal RNA subunit". It matches the Rfam family "Bacterial small subunit ribosomal RNA", at positions 8 to 1361 of the family's 1533-position model. Lineage: Eukaryota; Metazoa; Chordata; Actinopteri; Anguilliformes; Congridae. The record is from RNAcentral.